UACGGAGGGUGCAAGCGUUGUUCGGAAUCACUGGGCGUAAAGGGCGCGCAGGCGGUUUGUUAAGUCAGAUGUGAAAGCCCACGGCUCAACCGUGGAAGUGCAUUUGAAACUGGCAGACUUGAGUAUCAGAGGGGAAAGUGGAAUUCCUGGUGUAGAGGUGAAAUUCGUAGAUAUCAGGAGGAAUACCAGUGGCGAAGGCGACUUUCUGGCUGAAUACUGACGCUGAGGCGCGAAAGCGUGGGGAGCAAACAGG
This 253-nucleotide ribosomal RNA is filed under the name uncultured bacterium. RNAcentral describes it as "partial 16S ribosomal RNA". It matches the Rfam family "Bacterial small subunit ribosomal RNA", at positions 524 to 776 of the family's 1533-position model. The record is from RNAcentral.